Molecule: ribosomal RNA, 404 nt
Filed under: Actinomycetes bacterium
Lineage: Bacteria; Bacillati; Actinomycetota; Actinomycetes
Description: Actinobacteria bacterium partial 16S ribosomal RNA
Rfam family: Bacterial small subunit ribosomal RNA
Source: RNAcentral
UGGGGAAUAUUGGACAAUGGGCGCAAGCCUGAUCCAGCCAUGCCGCGUGAGUGAUGAAGGCCCUAGGGUUGUAAAGCUCUUUCACCGGUGAAGAUAAUGACGGUAACCGGAGAAGAAGCCCCGGCUAACUUCGUGCCAGCAGCCGCGGGAAUACGAAGGGGGCUAGCGUUGUUCGGAUUUACUGGGCGUAAAGCGCACGUAGGCGGACUAUUAAGUCAGGGGUGAAAUCCCGGGGCUCAACCCCGGAACUGCCUUUGAUACUGGUAGUCUUGAGUUCGAGGGAGGUGAGUUGAAUUCCGGGUGUAGAGGUGAAAUUCGUAGAUAUUCGGAGGAACACCAGUGGCGAAGGCGGCUCACUGGCUCGAUACUGACGCUGAGGUGCGAAAGCGUGGGGAGCAAACAGG